RNAcentral lists this ribosomal RNA (464 nucleotides) under uncultured bacterium. Its description in RNAcentral is "partial 16S ribosomal RNA". It matches the Rfam family "Bacterial small subunit ribosomal RNA", at positions 29 to 507 of the family's 1533-position model. The record is from RNAcentral.
ACGAACGCUGGCGGCGUGCUUAACACAUGCAAGUCGAACGGAAAGGCCCCUUUGGGGGUACUCGAGUGGCGACCGGGUGAGUAACACGUGAGUAACCUGCCCUUGACUUCGGGAUAACUUCAGGAAACUGGGGCUAAUACCGGAUAGGAAUCCUUGCUGCAUGGUGGGGGUUGGAAAGCUUCGGCGGUUUUGGAUGGACUCGCGGCUUAUCAGCUUGUUGGUGGGGUAGUGGCUUACCAAGGCUUUGACGGGUAGCCGGCCUGAGAGGGCGACCGGCCACAUUGGGACUGAGAUACGGCCCAGACUCCUACGGGAGGCAGCGGUGGGGAAUAUUGCACAAUGGGCGGAAGCCUGAUGCAGCAACGCCGCGUGCGGGAUGACGGCCUUCGGGUUGUAAACCGCUUUCAGCAGGGGCGAAGCUUGUGGUGACGGUACCUGCAGAAGAAGCACCGGCUAACUACGUG